Molecule: long non-coding RNA, 890 nt
Organism: Xenia sp. Carnegie-2017
Lineage: Eukaryota; Metazoa; Cnidaria; Anthozoa; Malacalcyonacea; Xeniidae
Exons: 2
Source: RefSeq, a predicted model, not a curated record
GGAAAAGUGAAAUCAGAAGAAAGUAACGAAGAAAAAACAAACACAGUAACAACACCAAGACAGAGAGGUUCCAUAAGGAUGCGCAAGAACAUCAGUGGAAGCAUUUUUAGGCCAUGUGGCACCAGAUGUAAACCACCAAAAGCCUUUCCAAGAUUUACCAUAUUUGGUGGCAUUUCUUUGUCCACGUGACCUGAAAUACAACGUCAACCCCUUUGAAAUUGAGGGAUAUUGUGUAGUGUCGUUGAGAUAGUCUACUCCCAAUCCUUGCUUAUAUAUAGCAUGGCCCAUGCUCAGGGUGUUGUAAUGGUCACCAUUAUCGUCAUCUAACAACACUGUUUUGUAUCCUUUUGCAUCGCGAUAUAAAAAAGAAUCUUGGUUCCUUUUUGGAGGCUGACCAACCAAAGUCUUGGGGUUCCAUGAUUUGGAAUUCUUUAUCUAAGUUAAAAAUAGCAUGUAAUUGCAUAAAAAGAUUUACUAGAUUCAAUUUUAUACAAGCAAGUUUUUUAUUACAAAGAACAGUUCAUAGUAAACAUAGCUUCUACAGAGCCUGUUUUUCCAUCAAUGAAAAUUUGAGAUCUCGCUUUUUAGACCUCGUGAAAAUAUUUUUUCCGUACGAACCUCCCAUACGGUAAAUAACAUAUUUAUUUUUUUAUUUUUAUUAUGAAAAUUCGCGUUGUAAAAUGGCCGAUGGCCCGAUGCAACUUGAUGCUGAGACAAAAAUUGGAUUGUUUUCUACAACCUUCGCUUCGUCUGGAUAGGAAAAUUCAUUUUUGCUAUGAUAACUUUCAUCUGAAUACACUUUGCUUUCUCGUAGAACAAUUUACGUCGCUUUUAAAUCAUAUUUGAAAAUUUACAUUUCACUUUGUAACAAAUACAUUUCGAAAAAAAUA